RNAcentral lists this long non-coding RNA (14785 nucleotides) under Zea mays. RNAcentral describes it as "long non-coding RNA (ZMAY_LNC002902)". Lineage: Eukaryota; Viridiplantae; Streptophyta; Magnoliopsida; Poales; Poaceae. The record is from RNAcentral.
CGGGCUCGGGAAGCCGACGCUGGCGCGGAUGGAAUACAAACUCCAGGUUCCUCUUUUCUCCUAUGCAUCAAUUGUAGUCCUCUAGUAUCUACGUAAGCUCUGCUCACGCCUUUGCCCCCACCCACCCAACACCCCCACUCGCAGCUGGCGCCCGACUUCGACACUGUGUCUGACGCCUCGCACGCAUAGGACGUGCUCCUGCGCCGCCAGGCCAGGUCUGAGUCCGGGUCCGAGGAGGUCCUCGUGUCGGCGCUGCUCGCCCCGCUACGGUUCGUGGGCUGAGACCCGCUGCCCAGGGCCGCGCUCGUCAAGGUCUUCGUCAGUAAGCCUGGCGCGGCGCCCGUCCUGCACUUCGACUGUCGUGCGUCUUGGGUGGGGGAGGAACGCGGCGCUGCUGACUACGCUAUCAACGCUGUCCGGUACCACUCCUCUCCUGACGGCGGUGGGGAAGACGAGUACGAAGGGCCAGCGUUCAGGCGGGCGUCGUUCGUACCAUUUUACAACGAAUAAAUCUAACCAUACAUAGCCUUGGCCUUCUGAACAUUGCUCUGAUUCUAGAGUUUUGGGUGCGAGGGGCUUCAAUCUUUUUUUGUGCCACACAACAACUUCAUGCUUUAGUGUUUUUCCCUUUCUAAUGCCUGCAAUUGUGCUCACCGGUCUAUGUUUUUCCCAUCUAUUGCCUAAUUAAACCUCUAUUUUACAUGUUCUUUAUGCAGAUAAGUGGAAGCAACCUCCUCACUGAUUCCAGCGUUCUGGUCCUCGCUGUUCCAGGCUUCAUGUUGCAGUAAGAUACCUCCCCCUCGAUUGUAGGUGUCAACUAACACAUGAAUUCUUGAUUUAGAUCGUUUUCCCCCGGACUAUGCUAUGUCGAGUAAAUAAUUUUGAUUCUUUCGAGCAUUGGUUCCUUCAUGUGAAGUAUGUGAGGUAAAGCUAGUAUAUUAUUCUUUGAUUGUGUAGGCCAUGUUUGCCUAUUUUUACUGUUUAAGGUAACUUAUAAUUUCUGAUUGCAUUACGUUCAUCAUUAUUCAUGGUUUCCUUCAGGAUUUACCUUCAAAGAUCAUAAAAUAUUUGGGCCAGAAGAAUAGGUUUAGCUUUAGCUCAUGAACGACCAUCCACCGUUAGGAGAUAGAAUUUAGCAUAUUUUUCGGUAAUAGCACUACUUUUCUUGGGGAUAGUUGGCCUCAUUUUGAUUCUAAAUAUAAACUUGAAUAUUGUUAUAUGUUGUUUUGUUGAUAUACUUUUGUGGGCUCUUUGCUUUAAGUGGUUGUCUUCAAUCAGACCACAUGUCUGGAAAUACUUAAGCAGUGAUGGGACUAUCACAUUUAGUAUGCUCAAUUUUACAUUGUUGUUUUCUCUCUUUUUUAUACCUUGUUUUAGUGUGUUGCGCAAUCCACCCAUCUCUUCUUUAGAGUCAAAGGCGAGACAAUUGUCGAUGUUUGUCGGUGUUUCGAGACCGGGGGGGUCCCUAAGCCGACGAGUGAAGUGUCGCCGCGUGCCCCAGCCCAGAUGGGUCGGCGCGAGGCUGAGCGCGAAGGGGGGAAGUGAGAUGGCCGGAGACGUGCGUGAGAGAGGUGGAAAUCCCGCGGCCUUCGUGUUCGUCCCGCGCCCAGGUCGGGUGCGCUUGCAGUAGGGGGUUACAAGCGUCCACACGGGGGAGGGAGCGAGCGGCCUCACGCGAGCGCCUGUCUCGUCCUCGUCCCCGCGCGGCCAACCCUCUCUAAGAGGGCCCUGGUCCUUCCUUUUAUAGGCGUAAGGAGAGGAUCCAGGUGUACAAUGGGGGGUGUAGCAGAGUGCUACGUGUCUAGCGGAGGAGAGCUAGCGCCCUAAGUACACGCCAUCGUGGCGGCCGGAGAGAUUUUGGCGCCCGGUUUGUGUGAUGUCGUGGCCGUCGGAGGAGCGCUGGAGCCUGGCGGAGGGACAGCUGUCGGGGCCGUCGAGUCCUUGCUGACGUCCUCUUGCUUCCGUAAGGGGGCCGAGAGCCGCCAUCGUCAGGGAGCAUGCGGGGCGCCAUCAUCGCCUAUCUGGCGGAGCGAGCCAGAUGGGACGCCGGUCUUGUUCCCCGUAGCCUGAGUCAGCUUGGAGUAGGGUAAUGAUGGUGCCUCCUGUUGACGUGGCCGGUCCGCGCCCUAGGUUGGGCGAUGUGGAGGCUCCUCCGAGGUCGAGGUCGAGUCCGUCUUCCGUGGCCGAGGCCGAGUCCGAGCCCCUAGGUCGGGCGAGGCGGAGGUCGUUGGCUGAGGCCAGGGCGGAAUUUGAGUCCUGGGGUCGUGCGAAGCGGAGUUCGUCGUCUUCUGGGGCUGAGCCCAAGUCCGAGCCCUGGGUCGGGCGGAGCGGUGUUCGUCGUCUUCCGGGGCUUAGUCCGAGUCCGAGCCCUGGGUCGGGCGGAGCGGAGUUCGUCGUCUUCCGGAGCUUAGCCCGAGUUCGAGCCCUGGGUCAGGCGGAGCGGAGUUCACCGUCUUCCGGGGCUUAGCCCGAGUCCGAGCCCUGGGUCGGGCGGAGCGGAGUUCGCCGUCUUCCGGGGCUUAGCCCGAGUCCGAGCCCUGGGUCGGGCGGAGCGGAGCUUCCUAUGGUGCGUGCGGCCGGGCCUGACUGCCUGUCAGCCUCACUCUGUCAAGUGGCACCGCAGUCGGAGUGGCGCAGGCGGCGCUGUCUUUCUGUCAGACCGGUCAGUAGAGCGGCGAAGUGACGGCGGUCACUUCGGCUCUGUCGGCUGAGGGGCGCGCGUCAGGAUAAAGGUGUCAGGCCACCUUUGCAUUAAAUGCUCCUAUGAUUUGGUCAGUCGGUGCGGCGAUUUGGUCAGGGUUGCUUCUUGGCGAAGACAGGGCCUCGGGCGAGCCGGAAAUAUGUUCGCCACUGGAGGGGGGCCUCGGGCGAGGCGGAGAUCCUCCGGGGUCGGCUGCCCUUGUCCGAGGCUAGGCUCGGGCGAGGCAUGAUCGAGUCCCUCGAAUGGACUGAUCCCUGACUUAAUCGCACCCAUCAGGCCUUUGCAGCUUUAUGCUGAUGGGGGUUACCAGCUGAGAAUUAGGAGCCUUGAGGGUACCCCUAAUUAUGGUCCCCGACAGUAGCCCCCGAGCCUCGAAGGGAGUGUUAGCACUCGCUUGGAGGCUUUCGUCGCACUUUUUUGCAAGGGGACCAGCCUUUCUCGGUUGCGUUUUGUUCCGGUGGGUGCGCGCGAGCGCACCCGCCGGGUGUAGCCCCCGAGGCCUCGGAGGAGUGGUUUGACUCCUCCGAGGUCUUAACGCCUCGCGCAAUGCUUCGGCUAGUCUGGUCGUUCCCUCAUGCGAACUGGUCGUAGCCCGGGUGUACGGUCGGGUCCCAAGUUCUCAGGCUGGUAUGUUGACGCUGUCAACGGUUUGGCCGGAGCCGGGUUUGCGAGAGCAGCCCCCGAGCCUCUGCAUAGGGCGAGAGGGCGAUCAGGGACAAACUCGACUUUUUUACAUACGCCCCUGCGUCGCCUUUCCGCAAGGAGGAGGGGGGAGAGCGCCAUGUUGCCCUCGGUGGGCGCCGAACAUGGUGUCUCCGGUGAGCUGCAGGCGGGUGAUCCGAGCGGACGUCCGUGCCCCAUUCGUUAGGGGUCGGCUAGAGGCCUAGAGGCGCGCCCAAAAGUACCUGCGGGUGAUCUGCCGGACCCGGUCCCCUGGCGACGGGGUCCGAGGGCUCGAUGCCUCCCUCCGAUGGGAUUCUGUUACAAGAUCGUUCCCGCUGGUCUCGGAAAUGUCCUAGGGUACCUCGGGAGCGCAGCCCGAGCCUUGGUUAUGUAUCGAACGUACCCAUGGUCAUCCCUCGCUCUGUGUCUGAGGCGGCUGUGAACCCUUCGGGGGCCAGCCUUCGAACCCCUGAACAGUAGUGGGCGCGGAGCCCGAGUAGCCUGAGGCGGCCGUUGAACCCUUCCGAGGGGCCGGCCUUCGAACCUCUGACCAGUAGUGGGUGUGGAGCCCACGUGCUCUGAGGCGGCUGUUGAACCCUUCCGAGGGGCCAGCCUUCGAACCUCUGAUCAGUAGGGAGGCUCGGAGCCUAGUUCCUUCACGGGGAAGGAUCCUUUUCGGGGUAUCCCCCUUUCCCGGUCCCUGUUGCAAGAGAGAGAAAGAGGAAAAAAGGAAAAGGAUACGAAAUCGAACGACGCGGCGUACUUUUUUUGAUGCGGUCAUUAUGGCGAAGGCGAAGCGUCGCUCGCUUCUCCUGCCAGAGGCACCGCCUGUCCCGCCGCGGAGUUAAUGCGACGGGGCGAGUGGUUCGCGGGGCAGCCGUUGCGCGUGCGCGAGCUGUUCGAGGAACGGAACACGGGCGCGUUGUCUUCACGCCGUGGGAGAGGGUUUUCUCGCUGCCCCCGGAUGGGACGUAAGCUUGGCUGACGACGUUGUCCUUCAGAGCGGAGACCCUUGGACCGCGUCGCUAUCCGAGGCUAGGUCGGACCUCGCCAAAGGUGUUGUCGACGCCGAGGGCGCUGCUGCUCCCUUUAGCCGUUAAGAUCCGAGCCUGCAGGAUCGGAUUAUCUUGUAGCGUGUGUUUUCUGCGGCCGCCGAGGCCAAAACACACCCUCGCCGUGUUGUAAAGCCGCGUCUCCUUUCCUCUUGUUUCGAGUAUCUGGACUUUUUUGUCGGUAACAGAAUUGUUUGUGCGAGCGAGAGUUGCUUCUCACGGAAGGUGAUGAGUGAGGUAUCCGUAUCCCGGAGGCGUAGGAGUCCCUCGGCUCGGUCGGCCUUGCCGCUUACACGCACUCUUACCCGUCCAUGGGGUUCUGUCACCGACGCAGUCGAGAAGACUCGAAGAAUUGCUCCGGCAGAAGAGCUUCCGAACAUGAAGACUUGUUCGGUCCGCGGAAUCACUUAUCCGAACGUGAGUUACUUAUCGCAGAAGGUGAUGAGUGAGGUAUCCGUAUCCCAGAGGCGUAGGAGUCCCUCGGCUCGGUCAGCCUUGUCUGCUUACGUGUACUCCGUCGUUUUCAGGAUCCACUUUCGAAGUAGUCGAAAAGCACGAAAGACAUUCUGGCAGAAAAGAUCUUUUUUCGUGGAAAAUUUCGACGCAGAGGGGGUUCCCCCCUUUUAGCCCCCAAGGGAGGGUCGGGCUUUGCCGAGGCAAGGCUGACCCUUCCUUCAUGACUAAACUUAGCGUGGGAGCGAGGUAUAUGAACAACUUGAAAACAUCUUAAGGGUAGAAGCGACGUAGCUGUUGGAUGUUCCAAGCGUUGCUGUAGACCUCGCCUUGACUGUUGGCCAGCUUGUACGUUCCGGGCUUCAGAACUUUGGCGAUGACGAACGGCCCCUCCAAGGGGGGCGUGAGCUUGUGUCGACCUCGGGCGUCUUGUCGCAGCCGAAGCACCAGGUCGCCCACCUGGAGGUCUCGGGACUGGACCCCUCGGGCGUGGUAGCGUCGCAUGGACUGCUGGUAGCGCGCCGAGUGUAGUAAGGCCUUGUCCCGAGCCUCUUCCAGCUGGUCCAGCGAGUCUUCUCGACUAGCUUGGUUGCUUUGGUCGGCAUAGGCCCUCGUCCUCGGGGAACCGUGUUCGAGGUCUGUGGGCAAGAUGGCCUCGGCCCCAUAGACUAGAAAGAACGGCGUGAAGCCCGUGGCUCGGCUCGGUGUCGUCCUCAGGCUCUAGACCACCGAGGGGAGUUCCUUCAUCCAUCACUUGCCGAACUUGUUGAGGUCGUUGUAAAUCCGAGGCUUGAGUCCUUGUAGAAUCAUGCUGUUGGCACGCUCUACUUGCCCAUUCGUCAUGGGAUGAGCCACGGCGGCCCAGUCCACCCGGAUGUGGUGAUCCUCGCAGAAGUCCAGGAACUUUCUGCCGGUGAACUGGGUGCCAUUGUCGGUGAUGAUGGAGUUCGGGACCCCGAAACGAUGGAUGAUGUUGGUGAAGAACGCCACCGCCUGCUCGGACCUGAUGCUGUUUAGGGGUCGGACCUCGAUCCACUUGGAGAAUUUGUCGAUGGCGACCAACAGGUGCGUGUAGCCCCCGGGUGCCUUCUGCAAGGGGCCGACGAGGUCCAGACCCCACACAGCAAAAGGCCAGGUGAUGGGUAUCGUCUGCAGAGCCUGAGCGGGCAGGUGGGUCUGCCUUGCGUAGAACUGACACCCUUCGCAGACGCGAACAAUUCUAGUGGCGUCGGCCACCACCAUUGGCCAGUAGAAACCUUGUCGGAAAGCAUUUCCGACAAGGGCUCGGGGUGCUGCGUGGUGGCCGCAAGCCCCCGAGUGUAUUUCUCGGAGGAGUUCCUGACCUUCGGUGGUGGAGAUGCAUCGCUAGAGGAUGUCUGAAGGGCUGCGGUGGUAGAGCUCCUUCCCUUCUCCCAGCAAGACGAACGACUUGGCGCACUGCGCCAACCGCCAAGCUUCGGCUCGGUCGAGGGGUAGCUCUCCUCGGUGGAGAUAUUGCAGGUACGGGGUCUGCCAGUUUUGAUCAGGCGUGACCCCGCGUUGCUCCCCCUCGACGUGCAGCGUCUCGCCCUCGGGGGCUGAGGGUACCUCGGGCCGAACUGAGGGUGCCUCGGGCCGAGCCGAGGGUGCCUCGGACUGUGCCGAGGGUACCUCGGGCUGGGCCGAGGGUGCCUCAGGCUCGGGCGUGUCGUCGAUCUUGACGGAGGGUUGAUGCAGAUCUCGGGAGAAGACGUCCGGGGGAACCGUUGUUCGCCCUGAGGCUAUUUUAGCCAGCUCGUCCGCAGUCUCGUUGUAGCGCCGAGAGAUGUGGUUGAGCUCGAGCCCGUAGAACUUGUCUUCCAGGCGUCGAACCUCAUCGCAAUAGGCCUCCAUCUUCGGGUCGCGGCAGUGGGACUUCUUCAUGACUUGGUCGAUGACGAGCUGCGAGUCACCGCGAGCGUCGAGGCGUCGAACCCCUAGCUCGACUGCAAUCCGCAAUCCGCUGACCAGAGCCUCGUACUCAGCUACAUUGUUGGACGCCGGGAAGUGGAGGUGUAGCACGUAGCGUAGGUGCUUCCCGAGGGGCGAGAUGAAGAGUAAGACUGCGCCGGCUCCUGUCUUCAUCAGCGACCCGUCGAAGAACAUGGUCCAGAGCUCCGGUUGGAUCGGAGUUGUUGGUAGCUGGGUGUCAACCCAUUCAGCCACGAAGUCCGCCAAGACCUGGGAUUUGAUGGCCUUCCGAGGGGCGAACGAGAUUGUUUCGCCCAUGAUUUCCACCGCCCACUUUGCAAUCCUACCCGAGGCCUCUCGGCAAUGGAUGAUCUCCCCCAGGGGGAAGGAUGACACCACAGUUACCGGAUGAGACUCGAAGUAGUGUUGCAACUUCCGCCGUGUCAGGAUCACCGCGUACAGCAGCUUCUGAACUUGUGGGUAGCGGAUCUUGGUUUCAGACAGUACUUCGCUGACGAAGUAGACUGGCCUCUAAACGGGCAAUGCAUGCCCCUCUUCUUGCCUCUCGACCACAAUCGCGGCGCUAACCACCUGAGUGGUCGCGGCGACGUAGACCAAGAGGGCUUCCCCGGCAGCUGGGGCACCAAGAUAGGCGCCUUCGUGAGGAGCGCCUUCAGGUUCCCGAGGGCUUCCUCGGCCUCAGGGGUCCAAGUGAAGCACUCGGCCUUCCUUAAGAGGCGGUACAGAGGUAGACCUCUUUCGCCGAGGCGUGAGAUGAAGCGGCUCAGAGCCACGAGACAUCCCAUGACCCUCUGUACGCCUUUCAAGUCCUUGAUGGGCCCCAUGCUGGUGAUGACUGCGAUCUUCUCCGGGUUGGCUUCGAUGCCCCGCUCGGAGACGAUGAACCCCAAGAGCAUGCCUCGGGGCACCCCGAAGACACACUUUUCGGGAUUGAGCUUGACGCCUUUCGCCUUGAGACAUCGGAAUGUCACUUCUAGGUCGGAAAGGAGGUCGGAGGCUUUCCUCGUCUUGACUACGAUGUCAUCGACGUAGGCCUCGACUGUGCGGCCAAUGUGUUCGCCGAACACAUGGUUCAUGCACCGCUGGUACGUCGCGCCCGCAUUCCUCAAGCCGAACGGCAUGGUGACAUAGCAGUACAUGCCGAAGGGUGUGAUGAAAGAAGUCACGAGCUGGUCGGACUCUUUCAUCCAGAUUUGGUGAUACCCUGAGUAGGCAUCGAGGAAAGACAGGGUUUCGCACCCAGUAGUGGAAUCCACGAUCUGAUCGAUGCGAGGCAGAGGGUAGGGAACCUUCGGACAUGCUUUGUUCAGACUAGUGUAGUCUACACACAUCCGCCAUUUCCCCCCUUUCUUUCUCACAAGCACAGGGUUGGCAAGCCAUUCGGGAUGGAAUACCUCUUUGAUGAACCCUGCCGCCAUUAGCUUGUGGAUCUCCUCGCCUAUGGCUCUGCGCUUCUCCUCGUCGAAUCGGCGCAGAGGCUGCUUGACGGGUCGGGCUCCGGCUCGGAUGUCCAGCGAGUGCUCGGCGACAUCCCUCGGUAUGCCGGGCAUGUCCAAGGGACUCCACGCGAAGACGUCGGCGUUCGCGCGGAGAAAGUCGACGAGCACUGCUUCCUAUUUGGGAUCGAGCCCGGAGCCGAUCCGGACUUGCUUGGAGGCGUCGCUGCUGGGGUCGAGUGGGACGGACUUAACCGUCUCCGCUGGCUCGAAGUUGCCGGCAUGACGCUUCACGUCUGGCACCUCCUUAGAGAGGCUCUCUAGGUCGGCGAUGAGGGCCUCGGACUCGGCGAGGGCCUCGGCGUACUCCACGCACUCCACGUCGCAUUCGAACGCGUGUUUGUACGUGGGGCCGACGGUGAUGACCCCGUUGGGGCCCGACAUCUUGAGCUUGAGGUAGGUGUAGUUGGGGACGACCAUGAACUUCGCGUAGCAUGGCCUCCCCAAUACCGCGUGGUAGGUUCCUCGGAACCCGACCACCUCGAACGUCAGGGUCUCCCUUCGGAAGUUGGAGGGUGUUCCGAAGCAGACGGGAAGAUCGAGUUGUCCGAGGGGCUGGAUGCGCUUCCCGAGGAUGAUCCCAUGGAAAGGUGCGGCGCCCGCCCGGACCGAGGACGGAUCGAUACGCAGAAGCCCGAGGGUCUCGCGUAGAUGAUGUUGAGGCUGCUGCCUCCGUCCAUGAGGACCUUGGUGAGCCUGACGUCGCCGAUGACGGGGUCGACGACGAGCGGGUAUUUCCCCGGGCUCGGCACAUGGUCGGGGUGGUCGGCUUGGUCGAAGGUGAUGGGCUUGCCGGACCAGUCUAGGUAGACUGGCGCCGCCACCUUAACCGAACAGACCUCCCGGCGCUCUUGCUUGCGGUGCCGAGCCGAGGCGUUCGCCGCUUGCCCGCCGUAGAUCAUGAAGCAGUCGCGGACCUCGGGGAACUCUCUUGCUUGGUGAUCUUCCUUCUUGUCGUCGUCGCGGGCCCUGCCACCCUCCGCGGGUGGCCCAGCCCUGUGGAAGUGGCACCGAAGCAUGACGCACUCCUCAAGGGUGUGCUUGACGGGCCCCUGGUGGUAGGGGCACGGCUCCUUGAGCAUCUUGUCAAAGAGGUUGGCACCUCCGGGGGGUUUCCGAGGGUUCUUGUACUCGGCGGCGGCGACAAGGUCCGCGUCGGCGGCGUCGCGUUUUGCUUGCGACUUCUUCUUGCCCUUCUUCCUGGCGCCGCGCUGAGUUGACGCCUCGGGGGUAUCUUCCGAUGGGCGGCCCUGGGGCUGCUUGUCCUUCCAGAAGAUAGCCUCGACCGCCUCCUGGCCGGAGGCGAACUUGGUGGCGAUGUCCAUCAGCUCACUCGCCCUGGUGGGGGUCUUGCGACCCAGCUUGCUCACCAGGUCGCGGCAGGUGGUGCCGGCGAGGAACGCGCCGAUGACAUCCGAGUCGGUGAUGUUGGGCAGCUCGGUGCGCUGCUUCGAGAAUCGCCGGAUGUAGUCCCGGAGAGACUCUCCCGGCUGCUGUCGGCAGCUUCGGAGGUCCCAGGAAUUCCCGGGGCGCACGUACGUGCCCUGGAAAUUGCCGGCGAAAGCUUGGACUAGGUCGUCCCAGUUGGAGAUCUGCCCCGGAGGUAGGUGCUCCAACCAGGCGCGAGCGGUGUCGGAGAGGAACAGGGGGAGGUUGCGGAUGAUGAGGUUGUCAUCGUCCGUUCCACCCAGUUGGCAGGCCAGACGGUAGCCCGCGAGCCACACUUCCGGCCUCGUCUCCCCUGAGUACUUUGUGAUAGUAGUCGGGGGUCAGAACCGGGUCGAGAACGGCGCCCGUCGUAUGGCCCGGCUGAAGGCCUGCGGACCGGGUGGUUCGGGCGAGGGACUCCAAUCCUCCCCGCUGUCGUAGCGUCCCCCACGCCUGGGGUGGUAGCCUCGGUGCACCCUCUCAUCGAGGUGGGCCCGACGGUCGCGGUGAUGGUGCUCGUUGCCGAGGCGACCCAGGGCCGCAGGCGCUGUGUUGCGCGUGCGCCCGGUGUAGACCAAGGCUUCCCGCAUGAAUCGGGAAGUCGCGGCAUGAUGUUCCGAGGGGUACCCCUGCCUUCAGGAGGCGGAGCUCUCGGCCCGCCGGACCGCGGCGCCUUCCAGGAGAUCCUUGAGCUCUCCCUGGAUUCGCCGCCCCUCGGUGGUUGAUGGCUCCGGCAUCGCGCGGAGGAGCAUUGCUGCUGCAGCCAGGUUCUGGCCGACCCCACUGGAUGCGGGUGGCGGCCUGACCCUGACAUCGUCGGCGAUGCGGUGCUAGAAGCCCUGGGGUAGAUGUCGCAUUUAUCCGGCCAGAGGUUGGCCCGCCCAUGCCUGUCCGACGUCCCGGCGGAUUGGCUCAAGCGCUCAUGCUCCCUCGUCGAGCCUGAGCUGCACCCCGCGGAUUUGCUCAAGCUGUGGGUCGUGACCUCCCAUCGGAACGGGGACCACAGCUAGUUCCCGUGGGAUGUCAACGCGAGGCACCAGCCUAGGGAGAUCACCGUCCUCCGGCAUGCCGAGAUGGUUGCCUUCGGAGGGACCCCCUAGAUCGACGUGGAAACAUUCGCGGCUCGGGCCGCAGUCCUCGUCGCCGAGGCUACGGCUACCGUCGGAACAGUCGGAAAGGCAGUAGUCGCAUGCGGUCAUGAAGUCCCGCAUGGCACGGGGGUUGCCAAGUCCGAAGAAAUCCCAACAGAAGCUGGGCUUGUCGUCUUCCUCGGAACCAGAGGGCCCGUAGGUCAAGACGUCCGUCAGCCGGUCCCAAGGUGACCGCAUACGAAACCCCAGAGGGUUCGGAUUCGCCCCUGCGAGAGCGUCCGCCAAAGCGGAGCCGCUAGGCUGGUCGAGGCUGAAUCCGAAAGGCGUGGGAUGGGAAUCGGUCGGUACCUCUUGGUCGACGGGCGGUGAUGAAGUCACGUCGGGGACUGACUGCACCGUCGUCUCAGGUACGAGGGUGACACCCAGCAAGCCUUUCGCGAGCGUGCUGGCGUCGUCCGUUUGCUCGGGAUUGGCGUGUCGCGGGGAGACAGCGCUCGUCUUCGUUUCAAGCGCGAGGUCGAUGCCCGGCGCCCCCCCCCCGCUGGAGUGCUGGCGUUGUCGACUCGCUCGACGGCCGACGAGGCGCCGCCUCCUGCUUGGCCUUGGUUGCCCCGCCUCCUCCUCCGUCGGCGGGGAAGAGGAUGGGGCGAGCUCGAAGGUUGUUCUUCCACCACGCGAGGAAGACGUCGUCGAUCCCACCGCCGGCGGGCGGACUGUCGGCCGCCAUUGUCGCUGUCGCCCUGCGGUGGGAAGAGUAUCAUGUCGUAGCUGCCGUCGAGGGACAUGAACUCAAGGCUCCCGAAACGGAGCACCGUCCCGGGCCGGAGAGGUUGCUGGAGACUACCCAUCUGGAGCUUGACGGGAAGCUGUUCGUCAACACGCAGCAGGCCCCUACCUGGCGCGCCAACUGUCGGCGUUUCGAGACCUGGGGGUCCCUAAGCCGACGAGUGAAGUGUCGCCGCGUGCCCCAGCCCAGAUGGGUCGGCGCGAGGCCGAGCGCGAAGGGGGGAAGUGAGAUGGCCGGAGACGUGCGUGAGAGAGGUGGAAAUCCCACGGCCUUCGUGUUCGUCCCGCGCCCAGGUCGGGUGCGCUUGCAGUAGGGGGUUACAAGCGUCCACACGGGGGAGGGAGCGAGCGGCCUCACGCGAGCGCCUGUCUCGUCCUCGUCCCCGCGCGGCCAACCCUCUCUAAGAGGGCCCUGGUCCUUCCUUUUAUAGGCGUAAGGAGAGGAUCCAGGUGUACAAUGGGGGGUGUAGCAGAGUGCUACAUGUCUAGCGGAGGAGAGCUAGCGCCCUAAGUACACGCCAUCGUGGCGGCCGGAGAGAUUUUGGCGCCCGGUUUGUGUGAUGUCGUGGCCGUCGGAGGAGCGCUGGAGCCUGGCGGAGGGACAGCUGUCGGGGCCGUCGAGUCCUUGCUGACGUCCUCUUGCUUCCGUAACGGGGCCGAGAGCCGCCAUCGUCAGGGAGCGUGCGGGGCGCCAUCAUCGCCUAUCUGGCGGAGCGAGCCAGAUGGGACGCCGGUCUUGUUCCCCGUAGCCUGAAUCAGCUUGGAGUAGGGUAAUGAUGGCGCCUCCUGUUGACGUGGCCGGUCCGCGCCCUAGGUUGGGCGAUGUGGAGGCUCCUCCGAGGUCGAGGUCGAGUCCGUCUUCCGUGGCCGAGGCCGAGUCCGAGCCCCUAGGUCGGGCGAGGCGAAGGCCGUUGGCUGAGGCCAGGGCGGAAUUUGAGUCCUGGGGUCGUGCGAAGCGGAGUUUGUCGUCUUCUGGGGCUGAGCCCAAGUCCGAGCCCUGGGUCGGGCGGAGCGGAGUUCGCCGUCUUUCGGGGCUUAGCCCGAGUCCGAGCCCUGGGUCGGGCGGAGCGGAGUUCGCCGUCUUCCGGGGCUUAGCCCAAGUCCGAGCCCUGGGUCGGGCGGAGCGGAGUUCGCCGUCUUCCGGGGCUUAGCCCGAGUCCGAGCCCUGGGUCGGGCGGAGCGGAGUUCGCCGUCUUCCGGGGCUUAGCCCGAGUCCGAGCCCUGGGUCGGGCGGAGCGGAGCUUCCUAUGGUGCGUGCGGCCGGGCCUGACUGCCUGUCAGCCUCACUCUUUCAAGUGGCACCGCAUUCGGAGUGGCGCAGGCGGCGCUGUCUUUCUGUCAGACCGGUCAGUGGAGCGGCGAAGUGACGGCGGUCACUUCGGCUCUGUCGGCUGAGGGGCGCGCGUCAGGAUAAAGGUGUCAGGCCACCUUUGCAUUAAAUGCUCCUGUGAUUUGGUCAGUCGGUGCGGCGAUUUGGUCAGGGUUGCUUCUUGGCGAAGACAGGGCCUCAGGCGAGCCGGAAAUAUGUUCGCCGCUGGAGGGGGGCCUCGGGCGAGGCGGAGAUCCUCCGGGGUCGGCUGCCCUUGUCCGAGGCUAGGCUCAGGCGAGGCGUGAUCGAGUCCCUCGAAUGGACUAAUCCCUGACUUAAUCGCACCCAUCAGGCCUUUGCAGCUUUAUGCUGAUGGGGGUUACCAGCUGAGAAUUAGGAGCCUUGAGGGUACCCCUAAUUAUGGUCCCCGACAAUGUUGUAGAAAGUUUAGCUAACAUCCAAGUUUCUUCUAUAUGUUUUCCUUUCUAAUCCUUUUGGUGAUGCAUAUGGGAAUGACUAAGUCAACAAAAAAUGUUUGUAGGACCGAGUAAGACAAGAAAAAGACAAACAACACAAUCAGUCUGGUAUGCCUAAUUAUUCCCUUGAUUCAUGAUUAUGGUUUUGCCUCUUGAUUUAAUGUGAAGUUCCCCUCAUCCACCCUUUUCUAUCAUUCGAGAUAUACAACCCACCGUAAGGUUAGAGAUAUAUUUUCUCAAUUGGCGAUUACAAUUUAUGUCCUGUUCCAAGAAAAGAGAAGCCACUACAACCUUGAAUUCUUUAUGUUGUCAUCGUGUAUGUUUAGUAGGCAUAAAAGAAGAAAAAGGCAUUUUUCUAUGGAGAUUCAUGCUGGUGGCAUAAAUCUAACUACAACUAUAAAAGGGAAGCAGUACAACAACUCUUGUUUGAUUAAGUAUAUCCUUGAUUCAUGACUAGAGUUUUGUUAUUAAAUCGUUGAAAAUUCAAGCUAUUGUCUUUUGUGUUCGCUGACAUUAUGGUCUGUGUUUAGCAGGUACUCGAGUGAAAAAGAUUUCACCAUAGUCAGGUCCAUGGUUAUGACAAAUCACAGUUGUCUGUUACAUUACAUCGAUGUAAUCUUCACGCAAGAUCUCAACAAUGUUUGGUUGGUUACUUACACCCCACUCUAGAUUAACAUGUUCUGAAUUUUUUGUUCAAAGCUACAAUUAACACAUGCUAAAUGGUAAUUUCUUUAAAAUGAUCCAAUUGAGUUUGCAACUGCACAUGGUUUUUGCCAAGUUUCAUCAAGUACUGCUCCAACAGAACAAACAAUCAUGGAAAUUGGAAUGUUGAGCUAAGUCAUUGGGGUCUCAAGAAGAGGUCCAGGAAUCCUAAGAAUGAUAUGAUAACCAUGCUUAAAUACAGAUGGCAUAAAUUUUGCAUUGAUAACGAUGUAGGUUGGUGAUAGGUGUUUUUUCAUGUUCAUUCAUGGGCCUCACCUUUUCUGAUGUGACGAAAGAAAACUAUAUUGAUCUUGAUCUGAGCUAUACAUUGAAGGUCGAUAUAGUAAAGGAGCACUUAGACAUUGCUGCUCAUAGAUUUAGGUGCUCAUAGAUUUAGGUACUGCCAUCAAACAUUGUCUUCUGAUCCUUAUAUGCAGUGCCUGGUUCUUAUAGCUUGCAUGUAUUUUAUGCAUUGACUAUAGGGAAAAGAAGUGUGUGCAUUGCUGGUGAUCCAAUUACCUCUAAAUCAAGUUAAUAACUUAAAAUAAUUGCAGUUUAAAUGUUAUGUCGUAUGCUCUCUACUAAUACUAAUCGUUAUUUCAAAACUUUGUAUUUAAUACUAAUCGUUAUUUCAAAACUUUGUAUUGCUAAAUUCAAACGCGCGCGAUGGAGCGCGCC